Long non-coding RNA from Varanus komodoensis (Komodo dragon), 995 nucleotides. RefSeq lists it as uncharacterized. Lineage: Eukaryota; Metazoa; Chordata; Lepidosauria; Squamata; Varanidae. The transcript is spliced from 3 exons. The record is from RefSeq and is a predicted model, not a curated record.
AAAAACAAGAUCACAGAAUAGGAGAGUCUUGAACUUCGUUGUGCUGUCGUCUUUAGUAGCCGCUGUCGACAGAAGACUGGUCCCAGCCACCAUGUCGACUUCUUUUGUCCAAGCCGAGAAAUUGCGCCCGACCCCUUUCGAAGUGGAAUACUUUGACCAGUACGAUUUCUACAGCCUGACCGACAGAUACAGCAGUGGCUCCUCCCGCAAAGGACGUUCCAAGAAGGAGGCUGAGGAUCAUACAAACCGUCCAAGCCCUGGAGGCCAUGAACGCAAGAUAGUCCUGAAGCUGCAACGCACGGAAGCGAAGCGGAAGGCAACAGCCUCCAAGAAAUGAAAAAUGCAGCUGAGUUUCGUCAGGUUACUCAGGUUCUGGACACAAUGGCUAUGUCAACGUGGAUAUGGAGAUGGAUGCACAGAUGCUGCACAACUCUGUGGUUUCUUGCGUUGAGGGAGAAACAGGUUUACCACUCACGUCAAACGAGUGAAACUGAAAAUUGUGGAGAUGGCUGCAGCUCACUCCCAAAACAAGGGAGAGACAGUGGCGAUGGCCACCGCUCACGCACCAUGAAUGUCAAUGGGCUCAUGUGGGCAGGCUUGGAACAGAAAGCCAGUUUCCAAAGCUUGCCCUUUGUUUGUAUUAACUGUAUUGUAAACUAUCAGGAUACAUUUGAAAUGCAAAUGUAAAAUAUAAAAUGCCCUUUUUCCAAUGGGGCAAACUCUCCCGCGGCUGAAUUAGUGACACUCAUGGACAUUGAAUUGAAAGUUUUUGCCUUACUCUUACUGAUGGGGUGGAGGUCUGAGAACUAUAAGAACCAGAAUUUUGGGUGGGAUAGAUUUAUAGCAAGACUGAACCUGCACCGGUUGGAAGGGUAGGCUACCAGACAUAGGGCAGGUCUAGGAAAAGCAUGCUGUAGGGCCAAUGAAAAUGCAGUAUAUUCACCCCAUUGAAGCCAGUGUACUAGUCUUACACACAAUAAAAAUGCUUAUCUGUU